UUCAAUAAUUUACAAUCCAUAUAGUAUGGAUCGAAUAUUUCUGAUUCAUUAUAAUUGAGUGAAGUGAAAGAAAAGUAACUAGAAAUCGUAGACUACAAAGUAUGGAGAUAGAGAAUAACUAGAAAGACAAGUGUGACUGUAAAUUGAAAUGGUGGGGAGAGUCGCUAAUUGAUUCGACAGAGGUUGUAUAGUUCGGUCUACGGCUAUCGAAGCGCCCCGAGCGGUCUUCUUCCGCAAAGUAUUCGAUUGAAAAGUUUCGUACAGAACUUGAACCCAUAUUCUCGCUUCUUGUCACCGCCUCGAUAGUUUGGGGUAACGUCAAAGUGAGCGACAAUAGUGAUUGUCGAUAAGUGGAAACUUGGUGGAAAUUGAUAGAAUUCUCUGAUCGAUGUGCAAUGCAAGUUGAUACAUUUCAACAAAUAGACAAAUGUUUUUUUAAAAUUCAAUUCGACAAUGAAAAAUAAAUUCGAAAAAUCUCGAAUUUCUCUUCGUUUCUCUCGAUGAUAUUAGCAUAGAUCGAUGCGAAAUAAUGUGAACAGUGUUUGGACAGGGAAGUUUCGAGGAAGUUUCGCAAUGGUUGGAGGGGAUUCGAUGGAAAAAGUUGGGACUUCUGUUCGCGGUACCGGUACUCGAGUAUUUGAUAAACGAUUCCUCUCUCUCUGGUCCGGUUUCUACCAGAAACUUUCGUUUUUCGAGCAGAACACGGAACGAACGGAGAGCCGGUGGUGGUAACUCGACUAGGAAACUCGUGCAUUCGAUUCAUUUGCAUGCGUUCCACGUACACGACACACGACUAGAUUUUCACUUGGAAUUUAAGACUCGAUUUACACAGACGACACCGGUCAUAAUGUCGUUAGAGCUCGGUCACACUACAUUUAAAGUGAUAAUCGAUUUUCUUCAAAAACUCGUCGAGGAUUUGGAGAUUUUUCUUGAGGACGUGGUGUGUUUUCAGAAUUACGAAAUAUUUAAACUAUUAAUAUUCAAUUUAAGCAUUAAUUUUUCUUUGAAUUAAUUAAUUUCAAAUUUCACUUCAAGUUCGCAGAUGUGAAAUUUGCAAUUUAUUUCCGCACGAUCCAAUCGAGUAUUCGAAAUGUGUACAUGAAAGUGUGUGAAUUACAACAUAUCCACGGGAUAAGAAAUUGCGUUAAAAAAAGGAGGAUUAGACUUUGCUUUAGACGUUGAAAUAUUCAAUUUUCAUGAAACAAUCCUCUAACAUUUUUUCCAAUUUCAUCCGCCAUUUCGAGGCAAGGUUAUACCGGCUCGAAUUAAUCAUCAUGAAAGAGGAUUGGAUAAAAAUCUCAUCCUCUCUGCCUAUGGAUCGCUGGU
This is a long non-coding RNA of Apis dorsata (giant honeybee), 1326 nucleotides long. RefSeq lists it as uncharacterized. The record is from RefSeq and is a predicted model, not a curated record. Lineage: Eukaryota; Metazoa; Arthropoda; Insecta; Hymenoptera; Apidae. The transcript has 2 exons.